CACGUAGGGGCGCAAGCGUUGUCCGGAAUUAUUGGGCGUAAAGAGCUCGUAGGCGGACUGUCACGUCCGCUGGUGAAAAGCCUAGGGCUUAACCCUGGCCUUGCAGGUGGAUACGGGCAGACUAGAGGUGAGGUAGGGGAGAAUGGAAUUCCCGGUGUAGCGGUGAAAUGCGCAGAUAUCGGGAGGAACACCGGUGGCGAAGGCGGUUCUCUGGGCCUUACCUGACGCUGAGGAGCGAAAGCGUGGGGAGCGAACAGG
Molecule: ribosomal RNA, 258 nt
Filed under: uncultured bacterium
Lineage: Bacteria
Description: partial 16S ribosomal RNA
Rfam family: Bacterial small subunit ribosomal RNA
Source: RNAcentral